GACGAACGCUGGCGGCGUGCUUAACACAUGCAAGUCGAACGGAAAGGCCCUGCUUUUGUGGGGUGCUCGAGUGGCGAACGGGUGAGUAACACGUGAGUAACCUGCCCUUGACUUUGGGAUAACUUCAGGAAACUGGGGCUAAUACCGGAUAGGAGCUCCUGCUGCAUGGUGGGGGUUGGAAAGUUUCGGCGGUUGGGGAUGGACUCGCGGCUUAUCAGCUUGUUGGUGGGGUAGUGGCUUACCAAGGCUUUGACGGGUAGCCGGCCUGAGAGGGUGACCGGCCACAUUGGGACUGAGAUACGGCCCAGACUCCUACGGGAGGCAGCAGUGGGGAAUAUUGCACAAUGGGCGGAAGCCUGAUGCAGCAACGCCGCGUGCGGGAUGCCGGCCUUCGGGUUGUAAACCGCUUUCGCCUGUGACGAAGCGUGAGUGACGGUAAUGGGUAAAGAAGCACCGGCUAACUACGUGCCAGCAGCCGCGGUGAUACGUAGGGUGCGAGCGUUGUCCGGAUUUAUUGGGCGUAAAGGGCUCGUAGGUGGUUGAUCGCGUCGGAAGUGUAAUCUUGGGGCUUAACCCUGAGCGUGCUUUCGAUACGGGUUGACUUGAGGAAGGUAGGGGAGAAUGGAAUUCCUGGUGGAGCGGUGGAAUGCGCAGAUAUCAGGAGGAACACCAGUGGCGAAGGCGGUUCUCUGGGCCUUUCCUGACGCUGAGGAGCGAAAGCGUGGGGAGCGAACAGGCUUAGAUACCCUGGUAGUCCACGCUGUAAACGGUGGGUACUAGGUGUGGGGUCCAUUCCACGGGUUCCGUGCCGUAGCUAACGCUUUAAGUACCCCGCCUGGGGAGUACGGCCGCAAGGCUAAAACUCAAAGGAAUUGACGGGGCCCCGCACAAGCGGCGGAGCAUGCGGAUUAAUUCGAUGCAACGCGUAGAACCUUACCUGGGUUUGACAUGGAUCGGGAGUGCUCAGAGAUGGGUGUGCCUCUUUUGGGGUCGGUUCACAGGUGGUGCAUGGCUGUCGUCAGCUCGUGUCGUGAGAUGUUGGGUUAAGUCCCGCAACGAGCGCAACCCUUGUUCACUGUUGCCAGCACGUUAUGGUGGGGACUCAGUGGAGACCGCCGGGGUCAACUCGGAGGAAGGUGGGGAUGACGUCAAGUCAUCAUGCCCCUUAUGUCCAGGGCUUCACGCAUGCUACAAUGGCUGGUACAGAGAGUGGCGAGCCUGUGAGGGUGAGCGAAUCUCGGAAAGCCGGUCUCAGUUCGGAUUGGGGUCUGCAACUCGACCUCAUGAAGUCGGAGUCGCUAGUAAUCGCAGAUCAGCAACGCUGCGGUGAAUACGUUCCCGGG
This 1343-nucleotide ribosomal RNA is filed under the name uncultured bacterium. Its description in RNAcentral is "16S ribosomal RNA". It matches the Rfam family "Bacterial small subunit ribosomal RNA", at positions 28 to 1378 of the family's 1533-position model. The record is from RNAcentral.